AAAACCUCAAGCUAAGAGAUGAUCAUUUGUAAUGCUUUUACUAUCAAAAAUCAAAAAUGUUACCUCCUCCUGCAGAAAAGGUGCCUCCCGCCGUCACCGCUCCUCUGGGCAACAGCGGACACCUGCCCGCGCCAGGCCUCAGCGUCGCAGCCUCCACGUCUCGGAAAACGAAAAGAGCCUCCUUUGCGCAGCCCACAGACACCACUCUCGGACAGCCAGCCUCACCUGCAGGUAGCAGCUGUGGGGGUGAUGGGGUCUUAGGACGAGUGGGAGUUUAAAUAUUUUCACUUAAGACAAAAGUGCUUGAAGAUCCCAAGCUUCAAAUAGAUUGUAAUAGAAAGUCCCAAAGUCGCUUUAUUGACAGGUAUUUCGGCCUCCACAGCUCAGAGCAGAUGGCAGCUGAAACAGUCACCUCGGAAACAUCCCUCUCAGCAUCCUAAAGCAGCUGUGCAGAUCCUGGGCCAACGGGGUACCUGACAGGUUUUCGGGGGGAGAAUGAGUCUGUUGUCUCUCCAGUCACUGCUCUGACCUCUCAGUGGGAAAGGGGUGGGAGGAAAGCAUGAAGACAAACGUAUCGUGAAUCUGUUCCCCGCCUUUAAGAGAAUAUACGAAAUGGUGAAUCUCUUGUACAUGGGAGAGGUUACCGUUAAGACACUCAUUGAAUUUCCAUUCUAUACACACACACAAAACACUAUUCCAGGCUAUCAUUUGCCACUACUGGCAUAUUGCCUCGAAAUCAGUUAGCAGUCUUUGUGAUUUAGGACAAAUAUCUACUGGCUUAUACAGUGUCUUGACUAAUUGUCCAUUUUCCUCAAUAUCAAAUCGACUGGAUUUUAAUAUUUUAAGCUCAAAGAAUUCACAAACCGUCAUGUGGACGUGAUGAGUAGAUUUGUAAUGUUUCAAACUCCCUGUAGAAUCUAGAAAUGCAAACUUUUAAGGUGAAAGGGAUUGAGGGAGAAAGCCAUUUAGAGAGAGUGAAGACUCAUGGUUUUCGGUCCUCAAAAGAAGCCACUGGACUUCUGCUUCUGGUCACAAUGGAGUAACAAUGAGGGGACAAAAGCUCCCACCCUAAACAGCUCCGUCAUGGCCACAGGCAGUGCAGGGGGACUGGAGCGCAGCCCUGUGUCACCCCAGCUGUCUUCCUGGAGCCAGAGAGCUGUGGGUGCCGGAGGGAACCUCGAAAGGGCCCGAUGGCCCCGAGUUCUGGGGAGAGAACUCAGUUCAGGGGGAUCAGGCGGUGGUGGUGGCAAGGAGGAGUCCCAGAGAAGCAGCAGCUUCAGGAAAAGGGAACCCGCAGGGACACACAGUGGGCCACAGAGUCCUUCCUGAGCGUAGACCGUGCCUGCCAUGAGGGAGACUCCACAGACACGCGGACCCGGGCAGGACUGUGAGGUUGUCAGUUGAAGAGCCAGACUCGACCAGGACUGAGAGCCAUUUGAGACUGACCAGCAAGCGUGGAGACAUGGUGACUGUUCUGGGCACCCAGGGUAGGCCCGGGUCACCCUCCCUUAGUAGGGCUGAUUAUCCCAGAGGUGAAGGCAGCUCUAGACGUCCCCUAUCAAGGACGAGAAAACAAGCUGUAAAAAGUCCAAAUGGUUUGCAAGAUUUACCUGCUGCCGAGACAAACGUCAACACUCUUCAAAGAAAGACAACAACACACUGACACUGAGCAGCAUCAUCUGAUUUCUAAGGGGCACAGAGUUGUUCAUAGUGUCUCCUUACUCUCCUUCUAUUGUCUGUGGAUCAGCGUCAACGGCGUGCUUUCAUUUCUGGGCCUGGUCAUGGUGUCUUCUCUCCGUUUCUCUCAGUCAGUCUGGCGACAUGUCCACUAGCUGUGCAGAUUGUUCAUGGAACCAGCCUUUGGCUUCAUUGAUAUUGUCUACUUUUCUGUCUUCAACUCCGUCGGUUUCUACUCGAGUCAUUAUUUCCCUCCUCCUGCUUGCAUUUGCUUUAAUCAAAAGCUCUUCUUUCCCUGGUUUUCCUGGGGGAGAAGUUUACGUAUCGAUCAGAGUCUUUCUCUGCUGACACGUGCGUCAGUGCUGUGAAGGUCCCAGCAGCGCUCCCUAGGUGUGUCCCACAGAUUCUGAUACGAUGCAUUUUCAUUUUCCCUUAGUUCAGAAUAUUUUUACAUUUCCCAUUGAGACUCCCUCUUGGAUGCACGGGUUGUUUAGAGGUCGGUUGUUCGAUUUCCAGCUAGGUCGGGUAUCUUCACGUUAUUGAUUUCAAGUCUAAUUCCGCUAUGGUCUGAGGACAUGCUGUUGGGAGAGGAUGACUUCAGACUCCUCCUCGGGCACGUGAGGGUGGGCCAUGGGCCUGGAGCACUUCCUCCCUGAGAGAUGAGGGGCCACACAGCCUGUGCUGGACUUGUCACCUUGUCUUUCCCUGUUUCAGACGCAGCCAAUGCUCCUUGUUCUAUUAAAGCAGGUGUGUCAUAUGGCACCUGGCCACCCCCACUGCUGUAUGUGUCCCCUGUGGGACAGGUGGAGGAAAAUAUGGAGCCUCUUAUGGGACAAGAAGGGUACACGCAGGCUCCUUACAGACAGCAUAUAGUUGUGUAUCGCUGCUUCUUCCAUUCUGACAAUCUGUCUUUAACUGAUGUGUUUAGAACUGUUAUCUUGCUAGCCGUUUUAUAUUUGCCACAUUUGUUCUUUUUUUAUUUUCCUUCUUUUUCUGCCUUCUUCAGGUUAAUUCAGCAUUUUUUAUUAUUCCAUUUUAUCUCUUCUAUUGUCUUACUAUUAAAUCUUUUUUAAAAAACCUUUUUGGGUAGUUGCCCUAGAGCUCACGAUAUACGUUAAAAUAAUCUGAGUCCACCAACAAAUAUGAUACUGCUUCAUAUGUAAGAUGUUAAGAAACAAAAUUCAACUGAGUAAAUUUGAAGAUUUAAUUGGUUCUGUUAACUGAUUCUUGAAUUGGGCAGCAUCUCAUCUGGCAAGCCGAGAGAUGUUCUGAGGGGUUACACCACCUGAAAGGUUUUUAUAGUACGGAGGGUGAGACAAGGAAAGGAAGUCAUCAGCAAGGAAGAGAUGAAAGUUCAUUGAGGGAAAGUAAAUGCUCAGGUGAUGAUGGCUUCUCAUUGGCUGAGCUUGUUGCUGAGCAAGAAGGAAGUCAUCCUUCCUCCUGCUGGAGCAGCAAAGUAGUUGCACUUCCUGUUGGGGAGUGCAAGGUAGGUCUCUUCCUAUUGGGGACCUCUUCCUGUUAGGGUCAGUAAGUGACCUCUUCCUUUUGGAGUCAGUAACUCAUAUCUUCCUGUUGGGGUCAAAAACUGACAUCCUCCUGUUGGGGUCAAUAACUGACCUCCUCCUGUUGGGGUCAGUAACUGACAUCCUCCUGUUGGGGUCAGUAACUGACAUCCUGCUGUUGGGAUAAUUGAUGAUAGGUAGUAGGGCAUGAGGGCUCCCUCUACAGGCCUUCAUGACUCCAACUUUAGUUGAGGUUUCCUUUAUUAAUCUUAGUGGUUGCCCUAGGAUUUAAAAUAUACUUUGAAAUAAUCUGCGUUCACCAACAAAUAAUCCUCUACUGCUUCCUGUAUAAGGUUCAAAUUUCUGACUCUAUCACAUUUCUUCUGCCUGAAGCACUUCCUUAAACAUUUCUCAUAAGUUGCAGGUCCUUCUAGUUGUGGGAUGUGGGAUGCUGCCUCAACGUGGCCUGAUGAGCGGUGCCAUGCCCACGCCCAGGAUCCAAACGCUGGGCCGUCGCAGUGGAGUAUGCGAACUUAACCACUUGGCCAUGGAGCCGGCCCCGGUUGCCUUUUCACUCUGGUGAUGGUUUCCUUUGUGUGCAGAAGCUUUGUAGUUUGAUGUAGACCAAGUUGUCUGUUUUUGCUUUUGUUGCCUUGGCUUUUGGUGUCAAGUGCAAAAAUCAUUGCCAAAACUGAUGUCGUAAAGGCGAGGAUGCCCACUCUCUCCACUUCUCUUCAGUGCUGGAAUCCUCAGCCAGAGCAAUCAGGCAAGAAACAGAAAUAAAAGGCAUCCAAAUUGGAAAGGAAGAAGGAAGGUUAUCUGUGUUUGCAGAUGACGUGGUCUUUUAAGUAGAAAACCCUAAAGACUCCACAAAAAAACUGUUAGAUCUAAUAAACAAAUUCAGUAAAAGAGCAGGAUACAAAAUCAAUGUAUAAAAAUCUGUUGCCUUUCUGCACAUCCACAGUGAACUAUCCAAAAAGGAGCUUAAGAAAAUAAUGCCAUUUACAAUAGCAUCAAAAAGAAUAAAAUACUUAGGAAUGAAAUUAACCAAGGGAAUGAAAGCCUUGUAUGCUGAAAAUGAUAAGACAUUGCUCAAAGAAAUUGAUAAAGACACAAAUACAUGGAAAGACAUCCUGCGCUCAUGGAUUGUAAGAGUGACUAUUGUUAAAAUGUCCAUGAUACCCAAAGCAGUCUACAGAUUCAAUGCCAUCCCUACCAAAAUCAGAAUGGUAGGGGCUGGCUGGGUGGCACAGCAGUUAAGUUCGCAUGUUCCACUUCGACGACCCAGGGUUCGCCCAUUCCAAUCCCUGGUGCGGCACCACUUGGCAAGCCAUGCUGUGGUGGGCGUCCCACAAAUAAAGUAGAGGGAGAUGGGCAGUGAUGUUAGCUCAGGGCCAGUCUUCCCUGGCAAAAAGACGAGGAUUGGCAGCAGAUUUAGCUCAGGGCUAAUAUUCCUCAAAAAAAAAAAAAUCACAGUGGAAGUUUACAGAAGUAGAUAAAACAAUCCUUAAAUUCACGUGGAGUCACCAAGGACCCGGAACAGCCAAAGCAAUCUUGAAGGAAGAACACAGCUGGAGGCAUCAGCUGCCUGGUUCAAACUAUCCUAAAGCUACAGUAAUGAAAACAGUGUGGCGCUGGCAUAGAGACAGACACACAGGCCAACGGAACAGAAUCGAGAGCCCAGAAGGACACCAUACGUAUGCGGUCAACUGAUCUUCAACAUGGGAGCCGAGAUUAGUCAACAGGGAAAGGCCGGUCUCUUAACAAUGGUGCUGGAAAACUGGACAUGUGCAUGCAGGAGAAUGAAAACGGACUCUUCUCUCACACCAUCCACCCCACAAACCAGCACAGACUCACCAAGGACUUAAACGUGACACAGGAACCUGUGAGAUCCCUGGAAGAAGACUCAGGGAUGGCCUCACCUUUCUUAUCCAUGCCCGAGUUCCUCCUCUCUUCCAUCUUCUUUCACAUGGAGUAGCAUUGUCUCAUGUUUCCCAGCGUCCUGGUCUGAAAGUGGGAUGUCCACUCGCAUUAGUGUGUGGUCGCCCUGAAGUGCACCUGCAUCCUCGAUAUGAUGCUGAGGUUGGACGUCAGGAUUGUAACACAGCUGCUUACACGUGGCUUUUGCCCUAUUUUGGACAAUCUCCUCAGCGGCGUCCUGGACAUCAGAUUGCUGGGUCAAAGUUGACGUUUUAUGGUUUUUGAGAUGUUUCUGUUGAGCAUUUUUCAAAUGACACCUUGCACCUCCCACGAGCGUGGCUGUAACACAGGCCCCUCCUCUUCUCUGCUCAGUGCCACCCCUUGGGAGGUCCCAGCCCUUCUCUUUGAGGUCAUUUGUCCCCUCAGGCUGUCCUGCUGUGUAGAACUGGGGGAUGCCUCCUGUGGAACUUGAGGACCAGAGGUCAGCCCAGGAAGGCAGCUUCUCAGCAGAACCUAGGCCGUGGCUGGAGCCUGGAGGCUACAGGGCCGGGGCGCCUCCUGCCUGAGGCUGGGGAAGCCCCCUGCCCUACAGCCUCCACCUUCAUUUCUGGACUGAAGGUCAGAUGCCCCACCCUGGGGCCCAGGAGGAGCCCCUCCAACAGCCGACGAGGGUCCCAGGGAGAGGCCGGUCCAGUGACUGUUCCCUAUUGUCAGGCAGAAGCAAAGUCACAAGAUGACACGUCAUGAGCCAUGAGGGGCUUCUGCUGUGUAUCCAGGAGCCGUCCAGGGCGUGAACUAGAAGAGACGCCACCACCCAUGUGGCUGCACGACUGCAGAGGGAGAUGGCAGAUCUGGAGGGCCCCACCUGACACCCUGAGGGGCAGAGGCUCAAGACCAAGUGGAAUCGCUUGAGUCCAGCACCGUCGGCAUCCAGUACCAGGAGGGAGUGAGAGGACAGCUGUCCCUUCGCUGGACAGGAGGCCCCCGAGAAGAUGUGCUUCUCCUUAUGUCAAAGUACAGAUGAGCCCAGGAAAACAUGAUUCGGGGAUUUGGGGACCUAGAUGAGCUGAUUUUAAGUUCACAUGGAGAAAUCACUGAACAAGAAAGUCCAGGAAAACUUGAGGAGCUGUCACCAGAGGGACGAGCCUGACAGCAAUGAAAACACAGAGAUGACUCAGUGUGAUGCUGCCGUGACCCAGAACAGCCUUUCCAAGGGAACACGCGUCCCGGGAGCCACUUACAACAAGUGACACAUGCACCCCACAGAGUCACGUGUCUCUGUGGGAAAUGUGUAAUCGGAGUCAGAGAAGAGCACGGAACAGGGAAAUGUCUGCCCUUCCGAUUUCCUGAGUGGAGGGUGCUUCCGCAAACCCGCUCUUUAAAAGACCAAACAGCAAAGGGACAUGAGGUGGAAGCUGACACCUGAGGGAGGACAGCGGCUCCUGAUGACGAGGCAUCCUAUCACCUCGCUGCUGAGAGACAUGCGGAUGAAGCUGGGAAGCCCUUCAGGCUGCACCUGUCACCCCAUGGCCUGGUGGAAUGGCAGCACCCCGAAAUUCCGCCCACUGCCCGGCACCCUGACUGCUCUUGUCCAUAGCAGUUGGAGGCACUUGUCUCCUUUGUGAGCGGCUCUGCCGUCUCACACUGCCCACCUCGAUGUGAGUGCAGGAGGCACAACUCACACCGCAACUGGUCAGUCAGUUGGAGGCACUCGUGCCCUCUGUGAGCGGUUCUGCCGUCUCGCACUGCCCACCUCGACGCGAGUGUCGAGUUCGUGGAGGAGGCGAAGCUCGCGCCCGCGACUGGUCAGUCAGCAGUUGGAGGCACUCGUGCCCUCUGUGAGCGGCUCUGCCGUCUCGCACUGCCCACCUCGACGCGAGUGUCGAGUUCGUGGAGGAGGCGCAGCUCGCGCCCGCGACUGGUCAGUCAGGUGAGCGUGACUUUGGGGACAGUGGCCGCCAGGGGUGGUGCCACGGGCCUCCCUUGGCUGUAGGCGAGGUGACACCGAGCCCCGAGCCCCGAUGGAGAGCCGGGCUCAGACAGCCGUCCCCGGUCCAUGGGGUGAGGGUGCUGCUCGCAUUGCCCCUGCCCGUGGGAGGAGGCUGGGG
Equus caballus (horse) is the source of this 7207-nucleotide long non-coding RNA. Lineage: Eukaryota; Metazoa; Chordata; Mammalia; Perissodactyla; Equidae. The record is from Ensembl.